Molecule: ribosomal RNA, 1541 nt
Filed under: uncultured Bacillus sp.
Lineage: Bacteria; Bacillati; Bacillota; Bacilli; Caryophanales; Bacillaceae
Description: partial 16S ribosomal RNA
Rfam family: Bacterial small subunit ribosomal RNA
Source: RNAcentral
GAGUUUGAUCCUGGCUCAGGACGAACGCUGGCGGCGUGCCUAAUACAUGCAAGUCGAGCGGACAGAUGGGAGCUUGCUCCCUGAUGUUAGCGGCGGACGGGUGAGUAACGCGUGGGUAACCUGCCUGUAAGACUGGGAUAACUCCGGGAAACCGGGGCUAAUACCGGAUGGUUGUUUGAACCGCAUGGUUCAAACAUAAAAGGUGGCUUCGGCUACCACUUACAGAUGGACCCGCGGCGCAUUAGCUAGUUGGUGAGGUAAUGGCUCACCAAGGCAACGAUGCGUAGCCGACCUGAGAGGGUGAUCGGCCACACUGGGACUGAGACACGGCCCAGACUCCUACGGGAGGCAGCAGUAGGGAAUCUUCCGCAAUGGACGAAAGUCUGACGGAGCAACGCCGCGUGAGUGAUGAAGGUUUUCGGAUCGUAAAGCUCUGUUGUUAGGGAAGAACAAGUACCGUUCGAAUAGGGCGGUACCUUGACGGUACCUAACCAGAAAGCCACGGCUAACUACGUGCCAGCAGCCGCGGUAAUACGUAGGUGGCAAGCGUUGUCCGGAAUUAUUGGGCGUAAAGGGCUCGCAGGCGGUUUCUUAAGUCUGAUGUGAAAGCCCCCGGCUCAACCGGGGAGGGUCAUUGGAAACUGGGGAACUUGAGUGCAGAAGAGGAGAGUGGAAUUCCACGUGUAGCGGUGAAAUGCGUAGAGAUGUGGAGGAACACCAGUGGCGAAGGCGACUCUCUGGUCUGUAACUGACGCUGAGGAGCGAAAGCGUGGGGAGCGAACAGGAUUAGAUACCCUGGUAGUCCACGCCGUAAACGAUGAGUGCUAAGUGUUAGGGGGUUUCCGCCCCUUAGUGCUGCAGCUAACGCAUUAAGCACUCCGCCUGGGGAGUACGGUCGCAAGACUGAAACUCAAAGGAAUUGACGGGGGCCCGCACAAGCGGUGGAGCAUGUGGUUUAAUUCGAAGCAACGCGAAGAACCUUACCAGGUCUUGACAUCCUCUGACAAUCCUAGAGAUAGGACGUCCCCUUCGGGGGCAGAGUGACAGGUGGUGCAUGGUUGUCGUCAGCUCGUGUCGUGAGAUGUUGGGUUAAGUCCCGCAACGAGCGCAACCCUUGAUCUUAGUUGCCAGCAUUCAGUUGGGCACUCUAAGGUGACUGCCGGUGACAAACCGGAGGAAGGUGGGGAUGACGUCAAAUCAUCAUGCCCCUUAUGACCUGGGCUACACACGUGCUACAAUGGACAGAACAAAGGGCAGCGAAACCGCGAGGUUAAGCCAAUCCCACAAAUCUGUUCUCAGUUCGGAUCGCAGUCUGCAACUCGACUGCGUGAAGCUGGAAUCGCUAGUAAUCGCGGAUCAGUAUGCCGCGGUGAAUACGUUCCCGGGCCUUGUACACACCGCCCGUCACACCGCGAGAGUUUGUAACACCCGAAGUCGGUGAGGUAACCUUUUAGGAGCCAGCCGCCGAAGGUGGGACAGAUGAUUGGGGUGAAGUCGUAACAAGGUAGCCGUAUCGGAAGGUGCGGCUGGAUCACCUCCCU